GGCGCCGAUGACAGGCGCAGCGGUAGCGCGCUUCCCUGACGCGGAAGAAGGUCGCUGGUUCGAUCCGGUGUGGCGCCA
This 78-nucleotide transfer RNA is filed under the name Kocuria rhizophila. Its description in RNAcentral is "tRNA-Val". The record is from RNAcentral. Lineage: Bacteria; Bacillati; Actinomycetota; Actinomycetes; Micrococcales; Micrococcaceae.